This 424-nucleotide ribosomal RNA is filed under the name Fusarium avenaceum. RNAcentral describes it as "eukaryotic LSU rRNA". The stretch from base 134 to 287 matches the Rfam family "5.8S ribosomal RNA". Lineage: Eukaryota; Fungi; Ascomycota; Sordariomycetes; Hypocreales; Nectriaceae. The record is from RNAcentral.
AACCCCUGUGAACAUACCUUAAUGUUGCCUCGGCGGAUCAGCCCGCGCCCCGUAAAACGGGACGGCCCGCCAGAGGACCCAAACUCUAAUGUUUCUUAUUGUAACUUCUGAGUAAAACAAACAAAUAAAUCAAAACUUUCAACAACGGAUCUCUUGGUUCUGGCAUCGAUGAAGAACGCAGCAAAAUGCGAUAAGUAAUGUGAAUUGCAGAAUUCAGUGAAUCAUCGAAUCUUUGAACGCACAUUGCGCCCGCUGGUAUUCCGGCGGGCAUGCCUGUUCGAGCGUCAUUUCAACCCUCAAGCCCCCGGGUUUGGUGUUGGGGAUCGGCUCUGCCUUCUGGCGGUGCCGCCCCCGAAAUACAUUGGCGGUCUCGCUGCAGCCUCCAUUGCGUAGUAGCUAACACCUCGCAACUGGAACGCGGCGC